RNAcentral lists this ribosomal RNA (253 nucleotides) under uncultured bacterium. RNAcentral describes it as "partial 16S ribosomal RNA". It matches the Rfam family "Bacterial small subunit ribosomal RNA", at positions 524 to 776 of the family's 1533-position model. The record is from RNAcentral.
UACGUAGGGGGCGAGCGUUGUCCGGAAUCAUUGGGCGUAAAGCGCGUGUAGGCGGCCCGGUAAGUCCGCUGUGAAAGUCCAGGGCUCAACCCUGGGAUGCCGGUGGAUACUGUCGGGCUCGAGUCCGGAAGAGGCGAGUGGAAUUCCUGGUGUAGCGGUGAAAUGCGCAGAUAUCAGGAAGAACACCAAUGGCGAAAGCAGCUCUCUGGGACGGUACUGACGCUGAGACGCGAAAGCGUGGGGAGCGAACAGG